Molecule: ribosomal RNA, 254 nt
Filed under: uncultured bacterium
Lineage: Bacteria
Description: partial 16S ribosomal RNA
Rfam family: Bacterial small subunit ribosomal RNA
Source: RNAcentral
UACGUAGGGUGCGAGCGUUGUCCGGAAUUAUUGGGCGUAAAGAGCUCGUAGGCGGUCUGUCGCGUCGGUCGUGAAAACUUGGGGCUUAACCCUGAGCUUGCGGUCGAUACGGGCAUGACUGGAGUUCGGCAGGGGAGACUGGAAUUCCUGGUGUAGCGGUGAAAUGCGCAGAUAUCAGGAGGAACACCGGUGGCGAAGGCGGGUCUCUGGGCCGAUACUGACGCUGAGGCGCGAAAGCUAGGGGAGCGAACAGG